Molecule: non-coding RNA, 820 nt
Organism: Camelina sativa (false flax)
Lineage: Eukaryota; Viridiplantae; Streptophyta; Magnoliopsida; Brassicales; Brassicaceae
Source: RefSeq, a predicted model, not a curated record
CGAUAGUCGUUUUUUUCUUCAUUUCCUCUUCCUGAGCGAUACAACUUCAGAUUGGUUUGAAAGACCAUCUUCCAUUCGCUUGAUCGCCCAACAAAAUUUUAGUUUGCGAGUUUUGCUGCUUAACUCAUACGUUUUAAUCAAAUUCACAACCUCUAUAAUCGAGAAAAUAUUUUCUCGGUUAGCUAUAAAAUUGGGAAAGGAGAGAAGCUUCAUUGAGUCAAAUCAAAUCGAAGUGUGUGUUGGGGUAGAUAAAUCCAAGAAUCGACGGAUUCAGUUUUGACCCAUCAGUACAAUAAACUGAGUAAUCAAUUCAAUUGGGUUGUACAUAUGGAAGCAUAUAUAUGAAGACAUUAUCUCUCUCAGUAAGAUAUAAAUUUGUAUUGUUUUAACAUGUUAGGUUGUUUUAUUUGGCAGAGGCAAAACUGAUUGCUUUACUUAUUUUGCUUAAAGGUUCAGGAUAUCAAAUGACAUAUACUUACAUGUAGAUCGGUUUAUUGCCACAGAGUACAUGUUUUUGUGGCAAAAAACAGAAAAGAGUGACAGCAGAAGCCAUUGGAGAAGGGUUGGAGAAGAUAGAAGGGAGAAGGUUAAAAGGGUUUGAUGAUUGAACUUUUGAUUACUAGCAUUGUAUUUAUAGGAGGCUUUCACGUAUCACGAUUUAGGUAUAAUUUGGUUGUAUAAGUUUGGGUAUAUUCUCAGAAUAAUUCAGUUAAGGUAUGUAAAUAUUUUCAGAAUAAUUCAGUUAAGGAUCGAUUUUUUUAAAAAAUCCAAUAAGGUAAUCUAGUACUAAUGUAUCAAAAGCAGGUUAGGAGAUUGAUAU